Molecule: unclassified non-coding RNA, 779 nt
Filed under: Caenorhabditis elegans
Lineage: Eukaryota; Metazoa; Nematoda; Chromadorea; Rhabditida; Rhabditidae
Description: Non-coding transcript of protein-coding gene str-46
Source: RNAcentral
AUGCUCCGCUAUUUUGAAUAUUUGGAUAUUUUCACUAAACUGGGAAUCUUCACAGCAUCCUUCUCAAACUUCCUGCUUAUCUAUCUUACUUUAUUUUACAUCCGACAAAUUCGUGGAACCUAUAAGCAAAUGGUUGUGAUCUUAGCGCUCACUGGAAUUGCUUUUUCCAGCUGGGAGCUACUUGCUCGACCAUUUGCUCAUAACUAUAAUCGAGCUUUCGUGUUUUUUAGCCUAAACACCCAAAAUUCCUUAUUUCUUGUUCAAAUUUCGGUGGCAGUUUAUGCAGGAUUUUAUCUCUUCAUUCUGGCAUUUUUUGUAGUUCAAUUUGUCUUUCGCUAUGUAAGCCUGGUAAAUCCAAUUUCUACGAGAAAAUUUGGCGGUUUUGGAUGUAUCCUUUGGAUGGGAUAUCCGUUGAUUUGUGGGGGUGUUUAUGGCGGUUUGUUGAGCUGGGCAGGAAGUCCCGACGAGUAUUCGGAUGACUAUUUGAGAAAUACAUUUUUGGAUUCUUACGACUUGGAUAUAACCCAGACAGCUCGAUUUGUCUUAAUUCCUUAUGCUUCUGAUGACUCGUUACGAUGGCGAAAUCUAUCUUUUAUCAUUUGUGGUGGAUCCUUAUUAACCGUUCAACUGGCGGAAUUAUUGCUCUUUUGAGUGUCUAUCCGCCAAUCGAUUCAUUUGUUUUUAUUAUGAUCGUGUCGGAGUAUAGGAAAGUUGUGAGCAAUGGUUUGUGUCGAAGAAAAAAGAUUUCCAAUCAUUCAACAGACGUCUUCAUUAUUUGA